RNAcentral lists this ribosomal RNA (464 nucleotides) under uncultured bacterium. Its description in RNAcentral is "bacterial SSU rRNA". It matches the Rfam family "Bacterial small subunit ribosomal RNA", at positions 331 to 793 of the family's 1533-position model. The record is from RNAcentral.
CCAGACUCCUACGGGAGGCAGCAGUGAGGAAUAUUGGUCAAUGGGAGAGAUCCUGAACCAGCCAAGCCGCGUGAGGGAAGACGGCCCUAUGGAUUGUAAACCUCUUUUGUCGGGGAGCAAAAGACGCCACGCGUGGCGUUCCGAGAGUACCCGAAGAAAAAGCAUCGGCUAACUCCGUGCCAGCAGCCGCGGUAAUACGGAGGAUGCGAGCGUUAUCCGGAUUUAUUGGGUUUAAAGGGUGCGCAGGCGGAAUGUCAAGUCAGCGGUAAAAUUUCGGGGCUCAACCCCGUCGUGCCGUUGAAACUGGCGUUCUUGAGUGAGCGAGAAGUAUGCGGAAUGCGUGGUGUAGCGGUGAAAUGCAUAGAUAUCGCGCAGAACUCCGAUUGCGAAGGCAGCAUGCCGGCUCCACACUGACGCUGAGGCACGAAAGCGUGGGUAUCGAACAGGAUUAGAUACCCCGGUAC